AUGACCCAACUUAUUCAAUCACUUCCAUUAUCUUUCUAUUGUUACAAAUCGACAACAAAAAACAUCCCUCAGAAUUCUUGUUCGAUAGGAAAAAAUAGCUCUUUAACCAGAAAUAGCAAGCAACAUGUUUUUCUUCUCUCUUCCGGGCACACACCCUAUCGGGUGACGCCAUUGACAAACACCCUAAAGGGGAAGCAACACUUCCUAUAA
This 210-nucleotide ribosomal RNA is filed under the name Triticum aestivum (bread wheat). RNAcentral describes it as "partial small subunit ribosomal RNA". The record is from RNAcentral. Lineage: Eukaryota; Viridiplantae; Streptophyta; Magnoliopsida; Poales; Poaceae.